Molecule: ribosomal RNA, 448 nt
Filed under: uncultured Sphingobacteriales bacterium
Lineage: Bacteria; Pseudomonadati; Bacteroidota; Sphingobacteriia; Sphingobacteriales
Description: bacterial SSU rRNA
Rfam family: Bacterial small subunit ribosomal RNA
Source: RNAcentral
AGGAGCAUGUGGUUUAAUUCGAUGAUACGCGAGGAACCUUACCUGGGCUUGAAAGUUAGUGACAUUCUGUGAAAGCAGAACUUCCGCAAGGACACGAAACUAGGUGCUGCAUGGCUGUCGUCAGCUCGUGCCGUGAGGUGUUGGGUUAAGUCCCGUAACGAGCGCAACCCCUAUCAUUAGUUGCCAUCAGGUCAUGCUGGGGACUCUAAUGAGACUGCCCGCGCAAGCGGUGAGGAAGGUGGGGACGACGUCAAGUCAUCACGGCCCUUACGUCCAGGGCUACACACGUGCUACAAUGGUAGAUACAGCAGGUUGCCACAUGGUAACAUGGAGCUAAUCCCAAAAGUCUAUCUCAGUUCGGAUUGAGGUCUGCAACUCGACCUCAUGAAGCUGGAUUCGCUAGUAAUCGAAAAUCAGCAAUGUUUCGGUGAAUACGUUCCCGGGCCUU